CCUGGCGGCCGUAGCGCGGUGGUCCCACCUGACCCCAUGCCGAACUCAGAAGUGAAACGCCGUAGCGCCGAUGGUAGUGUGGGGUCUCCCCAUGUGAGAGUAGGGAACUGCCAGGU
This 116-nucleotide ribosomal RNA is filed under the name Morganella morganii. Lineage: Bacteria; Pseudomonadati; Pseudomonadota; Gammaproteobacteria; Enterobacterales; Morganellaceae. The record is from RNAcentral. RNAcentral also lists the same sequence under 2 other names.